This 2497-nucleotide long non-coding RNA is filed under the name Olea europaea subsp. europaea. Lineage: Eukaryota; Viridiplantae; Streptophyta; Magnoliopsida; Lamiales; Oleaceae. The record is from RNAcentral.
AUUAGGUUACCAAAGGAGUUUUUAUCGUAUAAGGAAAGAAAAUUUCGUAUCAGGAAAAUUACCAUGCGACUGCAUGGUUUUAGUCCUUGCGGCCGCAUGGUUAUUCCAUGUUUCGAUUUAAAUUCCCUGCAUCCAUUCGUGCGGCCGCACGAGAGUUCUACCAUGCGACCGCAUGGUAGACUUCAACUUCCAUUCUCUUCAAUUUAGUCCCUUUACUUGAAUCUUUCACUUGUAGGCCUCUUUUCUUCACUCUUUCCAUUCCAUCAUCCCAAGGCAUCAUCAAUUGGCAUUUGGUUCAACCAAUUCCUUGAUUUGUUCAUUGGGUCAACUUUUGGGUAAUUGCACCUUGGUCCUUGAAAUUUCACUUCGUCUCAUUUUAGUCCUUUUUCGCGCCUUUUCUCAUGUAUUUCACCAUGUUCAUUGGUGUUCCCUACAAUUCACAAAUGUAAUGAAAUUAAGUCACAAUUCAAUCAUUUUGCUCGUAAUUAAGUCAUGUUUGUGACCUAAAUAAGUGUGUAAAAACACACUUAUCAGUAGACGCACCAAUUGUGGAUGAACCUGAGACCCUCGUUUGAAUUAAACUUGCCUGGAAGAGGUUGGAGUUCGAGAUCACGUACUUGCACGACCUCUGGCUAUUCAGCAAGGCCCUUAUCUCCUCAGCUCGCCUUUGAGUAUCCUUUAUCAAGGUGGCUUUCUGGUAAUCUGCAUAACACAGCAAAAGUUUAGUACUACUUUACUAGUCACCUCGGCCAAAGCAUCUAGGGACAAUUACUUACACAAAGAAUGAUAGAGUGUAGGAACGAUAUCCUCCUGAUUCACUUCGACGGGGUAAAACUGCCUCUCCCCAACACAUGGAAAAACUCCUCAGUCCACUUCUUAAUUGAGGAAGGGGUAUCCAAAACUAAGGGACUGCCCUCCUUGGCCUAAUGCUGGUAUACCACCAGUCUGAAUUUUUCCCGUCUUCCUUGAAUGUGGCUGCUCCACACUUAGCUCGGGAUUCCCUAGCUUAUUCCAUAGGACCAGGAUUGUGAUUAGAGUUCGCCACUUGUUGGCACAUAAUUGGGUGGGAGCUAUUUCCCAGAAUGAGAGGAACUUGUAGAUUACUCCAAGAACAGGCAGACUUAGCCCGACAUGUAAGAUGGCAGAGUUCAGGGUAACGUAUCCCACUGGGGAGAGUUAGCCCGAUCAGAGGGUUCAGGGAUUAUCAUUAUUACUGAGCUCGAAAUGUCAUACAUAGCAUGCCAGCUAGCUACCAUAUCAACAAUUACUGCCAACUUAUACAUGCUCGCUCCAUACUUCGGAUCAUUCCCCUCACAUCUCCAAUAGGAUCCGACCUCCUUUCUCAACCCCUCUCCGCCUAACUCCAUAUUUGCAGGGCAUUUUGAUCUACUGGGUUAACAAUUGAGAUAGGGAUAGGGAUUAGGAUUUCUUGACAGCUAGAUGAUGAGCUAGGGGUGAGAGAUACUGACUCUUCUUGCUGGUUUUCCUAGGAGUGUACUCUAGACUCGUCGGAGCUCAUGAAAAAGGCAAAUAGAAGGAAUGAAGAAAGGAGACAGAAGAAUAAGUGGGAACUAGGACCUGAUGACCACACUAAAAAAUGGAAGAAAGGGUGUACUGAAGGUUCCUUGUUUCCACAAGAGAGUGCAUUUGCGUAAAGAAAAAAGUAAAUAAAAAGCCAAGAGGUAAUUAAAAAGGGAGAAUAUCAAAAAACUUCAUUUCAGCUGAUAGAUGAUGGAAAUGAGGAAAAAUGGAUGAAUCAGAUUCACCCAGCCAAAACUACGCCGUUUUGAAAAAAGGAUUCCUAAGAAAGCCACCACGAAUGCUGUACAGCUCACCCCUAUAGAAAUGUGACACAUGGCACCACAAUAAAGACACUUCUAGAAAGAAGGGCCAACAGCAGAGGUCAGUCCUCCUCCAAAGCAGCACUGACCUGGGUGCAUUUGUUGACCAUUGAGCUCUGGUCCUAAUUUUGGCUUACAGGCUCCACCUUGUGUGCGUGUGAGAUCGGCCAUGGGAGAUCAGCUAGGUCAUACUGCCACCGUAAUCUCAAAAGACAUAAUGAUUGCAUAUCCCUUGUGUCUUGUCACAUCACCCUCUCAAUCACAUACACUUGUAGAGAGUGGUGUCAUCAUUGCCCAAAGCCACCAAUCCAAGGCCCCGGACCCCCAACCUCUUGCAGGCCAUCAUUACCUGAGAAGAACAUUGAUGCAUGGCAACUGGCCUCAUCAACCAAUCACAAGAGAAUUCGACGACUCGACUUCUGAGCUCUCUUGUAGCUGUUUUAUCGAUUUGGUGUAAUUUUGGUUGGAGUCAUGUAUAAAUAGUAGGGAGAUAGUUCUCCUAAGAACGGCUGAAUUUUCUUACAAACACAAUAUACAAUUCAGUCUUUAAAACAUACAUUUUGGUCUUUUUCAUAAUAGAGGAAGAUCGCCAUUUUUCUUGAAGUUGACUCGAGAUUAAUCUUUACAAAUUGACGUCAACAUAAAUGGUUAGCCAA